UAGGGAAUAUUGGUCAAUGGGGGCAACCCUGAACCAGCCAUGCCGCGUGCGGGAAGAAGGCGUUCUGCGUUGUAAACCGCUUUUAUACAGGAAGAAAAUGCUAUGCGUAGUACUAUGACGGUACUGUAUGAAUAAGCACCGGCUAACUCCGUGCCAGCAGCCGCGGUAAUACGGAGGGUGCGAGCGUUGUCCGGAAUUAUUGGGUUUAAAGGGUGCGUAGGCGGUCUUUUAAGUCAGAGGUGAAAUCCCACAGCACAACUGUGGAACUGCCUUUGAUACUGGAAGACUUGAGUAUAGUAGAGGUAGGCGGAAUUGAAGGUGUAGCGGUGAAAUGCAUAGAUAUCUUCAAGAACACCGAUUGCGUAGGCAGCUUACUGGACUAUAACUGACGCUGAGGCACGAAAGCAUGGGUAGCGAACAGGAUUAGAUACCCUGGUAGUYCAUGCCGUAAACGAUGCUCACUCGAUGUAUGCGAUACACUGUAUGCGUCCAAGCGAAAGCGUUAAAUGAGCCACCUGGGGAGU
Molecule: ribosomal RNA, 524 nt
Filed under: uncultured Bacteroidota bacterium
Lineage: Bacteria; Pseudomonadati; Bacteroidota
Description: bacterial SSU rRNA
Rfam family: Bacterial small subunit ribosomal RNA
Source: RNAcentral